ACUUGUGUCUUGUUGUUUUAAACUGAAUUCUUUCAUCAGUUCCUUCUUUGUGUAACGUAAGUGACAUCUGUCCAUCUGGGACUCGUAGGAGCGUGGGAGGCAUCUGACGGGAUGAGCCCCCCAGCUCCUCACCUGCCCCCAGGCUGUGUCUGAAGGUCACCUGACCGUCACCACACAGGAGCGCCAGCUUUCACACGUGGAGCCAGGGUGGCUCUCCAAAGACUGGCGGUCAAUUUCGUGGAAAACUGCUCUUUGGAGGAGCCUUAGGUCCACACAGCUCACCCUUGGUUUGGACCAGCUUCAUCAGAAUAGCUCCUCCUCUCCCGUUGCCCAAUCCUGUGAUAUCCCAUUUUAGUCAUGGUGCAAAACAGCAAGAAAGUUCCAGGACGUUCUUCAAAGGAAGCUGUCAAUGUUGACACUUGAUAAAUUAUAUAUUUCUGCUAAAAACAAAAUAAGGGAGUUUAAAUGUGUGCCCGGCUUCUUGCUCACAAUGCAAUCAUGGAUAUUGCCCAACAGGGACGGAAGUCAGGUGCUCACAGAAUGUGACUCACUCUAAUGUCUUACUUCACUUCAUAUGAAAAUUGCCUAUUCUCCAAAAGAGAUUUUUUUCUAAAUUCAAUAAACACUUCUCUUUACACUUUGCAGGGCCUGUGGCCCAACCCUUUUUA
This is a long non-coding RNA of Myotis davidii, 668 nucleotides long. RefSeq lists it as uncharacterized. NCBI's taxonomy places the organism in Eukaryota, Metazoa, Chordata, Mammalia, Chiroptera, Vespertilionidae. The transcript is spliced from 3 exons. The record is from RefSeq and is a predicted model, not a curated record.